Molecule: long non-coding RNA, 14743 nt
Filed under: Gallus gallus (chicken)
Lineage: Eukaryota; Metazoa; Chordata; Aves; Galliformes; Phasianidae
Description: lncRNA (ENSGALG00010018931.1)
Source: RNAcentral
UUCCUUCAGCCUGAAGUUGGAAUGUAACCACGGGUCAGAAACUGAAAAUUCCACUUGCAUUAAAAUUACACUUUGUCAUUAGAAAUGUUUAUAUUUCAUUAAAAAAAAAAUCUUUCAUGUUUCUCUAUUCUUUAGAGAAGAAAUAACUAUUGUAUUUGGUUUGGAAUGGAUGAACAUAAUCUCAAAUCUUUGUUUGCAUCACUGUGCAGCAUACCAUUUUCUCAAAUGAAAGCUCACAGUAUUUGCAGAGCAGAUGGCAGAAGUGUGUGUGAUUACCUCACUGCUUCUUUGUACUGAGCAGAGAUGGAGGCGAAUUAGGGCCCAUCAGCAGGAGGGGUGUUUGUUUUCUUCCCCAGCAAACCAUCAAAGAAUCCCGGAGCACGUCUUAACUAUUGAGACUGAAAAUUGGGUGAAUUUUGUCUGCCUGAUUCUAGUAAAGACUUGUGUAUUACUUAUAGGGAAAUUCUUUCAGAAAAGUUGCUGGAAACGGUGAGCGCCGUGUAGGAGAUAAUACAGUAACCAAUCUUAGGCCUUUCACGCACAUGGAAGCUUUAACUGAGUAGAACUGUGAGAAAAAAGCUGUGUUGACCAAAGCCCAGGUACAGAUGAAAUUAUACAAGCAAAAAAAAACCCAUUUGCCAAUACUUUCUUUGUUUCCUGUUGAGACAUCUGUAUGAUGCUUUUGCCAAUACAGCCACUUUCCACGCCAAAUUCCCAGCUUGUGCAGCUCUACCUGCAGCCAAACAUUCGGAACGCAAACAAGGCUAAAGAUGGCUAAGUCAGUAUUAUUUCACAUCUUGGAGCAUGAAAAUUUCAGGUUCCUUACCAUUCCUGUUCUGGGGGGGAAGCUGUACUGCAGGAGUUAGCUCCUGAUUCUGCAGUUUUGUGUUGGGCCUGUGACAUUAAGGCACAGCACCGAUUUCUGUCAGGUCACACAGCCUGAAGCUGAGCGAAGCAACAGUGAGCAUGAAGAAAGGAUGCAUCCAAAGCCACCUCUGUACCAGCAGGAGUCAUACGCAGAGCUAGCUGCUGUGCAAAGCUCAGCAAAGCCACAUUUGGUGUAUGUGAUAUCCGGCUCUGUGCUCCUUGUGAUCCAAGGCCUGGACCCCUGCAGAGGGAUUUCUGGCACAGGAGGUGACAUAAAAUGGUGCCGGCAGCCAUUCUUUGUGUCUACCAAAGGUUAUGGGCAGCUCGACAUUUUCCAGCGUUAAAUGCCAGAAAUCUGUUCACUGGAAAAAUUUAGGCAGUGCUAAUUAAAAAGUGAUAGCUUAAUGCUUCCCAAGACCCUGUUUUGAAUUGUGGAGGUAUUAUCUGGCCUGUAGCAACAGCUCUAUCGUCUGUCACAGUUCACUGAGACAGUCAUUUCCAGUGGAAACACAUUGGUUUAGACAAAACUUUGCCAGAAAUGCAAUUUAAAGGGAGAGACGGGGAGGUGAAAAUAAACAACAACUCAGUGGUAAUUGCUGCUCUUUUAGGAAGCUGAGCACCAGUUCAGGUCUGUAGUGGGACUUGCGCAGAGCAGGGAGGUGCGCCUGCAGCCACGCAUUCUGACCUUACUCCUUCCUACUGGGCUCUUUGUGGUUUUAGGAUGGUUCAUACUUCUCCCUCCAGUUGGUUUGGUUUGUGAGAUUUAUUGGCAAGUUCCUGAUAAGCUACAGGAGUAUUUUUAGUCUUUAGUGACUACUGUGUGCUGCCGUUGCACAGAGACAGCGUCAUUCGCAUGCUUUAUUAGACAUUUGCCUAUUCUCCAGCACUUCUGUGCUGUAAUGGAUAAUUUGGCGAGAUGCAUAACAAAAUUUGUUAGCUGCUUUUUUUGUGUGUGUGUGUGUCAAGCUGGAAGCUCCUGUUUGACAUCCAUUUCUGUGGAAUUAGCCAAGUGGGGCAGCAAACAGAUUUGGUAUUUCUGCUCAUUGUAGCAUGGAAGGCAAAGGUUAUCACCACCACAGGACACAAGGAGGGGCGGGCACUCCUCUGGGCUGUCUCUGGAGCUGUGCUGAUGGUGUCUGGUGAAGCAGAUCUGCUGCAAAUUACAGCAUGUGGUUAUGCAUCAAUUUACGCUCCCGCCUGUUGCCAACAACGUGCUGUGCAUGAAUGGAGCUAACUUGGUAAAUAUGCUCUCUAGUAACUGAAAAUAACCAAGUGCUGUUGAAAGGAAUAAUUAAUCAAUGUUUGCAAAGCAUUUAGAAACUGAAAACCACGGUAUUAGUGCUAAGUGUUCAGGGCUUUAGCUUUCCCAUCAGAAGUCUCAGUUUUUCUCUUUGUUAGUCUUUAACCAAACAAAACAUUAAGAGUGCAAAGUCUUUUUGUCUAAUGUCCCCAGUCAGGUGGUUUUGUGCUCGGCAGUUGUUAAAAUGCAGUAAGUAGACCAGAAGAAACUAUAAAUGGGGUGAAUCAGCUCAUUUCUACUGAUGCUGGCAGAAAUGAGUUGAGUUAUGUUAGCUGGAGAUCAACAGCAGGCUCUGUAACACAAUUUCCUCCACUUGCCUAUUGGGCUCAGCCAGCCAGAACCAGUAACUGGCUUAUUCCCUGCAGCUCCCACCUCUCUGAACCCAGGUGCCAGGGAUGGAUACAACACUGUGUUAGGGCACAGGCUUCCCUGCACAGCGAGGCAGACAAAUUGUAUGGCUCAGAGCUGCUAUCUGAGGCAGCCAGCAUGCUCGAUGAACAGCCCAGUGAUACCCGUGAGCAGAAAUCCCAUUUAUCAGGUGUGCUGUGCAGAGAGGUGGCACUGAUGUCUGACCCCUGGCUCGAGAACUCAGGGGAACAAGGAAGCAUCUGUGUCUUUCCUUCCAAAGUGCCUUGGCUCCCUCACAAACAAGUCUUCAUGAAGCUGCAGUCCCCAGCAGAAUGGUGGUUUUACCUGGGAAGCCAAAAGGGCUGUAAGCCACUCAGCAGGAACCAUUUGGGGGUGAGGUGAGGGAUGAGGUUAUGCACUUAGACGGCCCCAGCCAGUCCCCCAUGCCCCUAUCUCUGUGUGCGCAACUGCUCCCUUCUCUGUUCUGAAGGCUAAUCUGUACCUCCAGACGUUUACAGUCAAUAUUCUUAUCUGCUCAGUGUGGUGUUAAUCUGUAUUUCAGAGAGGGAUGAGUGGGAAGACAGUCUUGUUGAAAACAGGGCACUGUGCAGAAGGCAGUUUAAGGCUAAUUGGCUGGAAAAAGCAUUGCACUGGUCCUUCAGAGCAUCUCUUUUUAGGGUUAUUGUAUGACUUUCCAACACAAGCUCCCUUUCUCCAGCCAGGAACUUUGUCAGACUAAGUCUGAUGAUGUUGAGCAUCUGUUCCACGCUCAGGACUAUCCAGCAGCUCACGCUGAGCUUCCAGAUUAAUGUAAAUCCAGAUGAUGUGCCCACUUCAGCUGUGCAGUGCACGAGCACUGUGCCCAAGUAUACAUCACAUGAUGUCCCAGAACUGUUCCUAUGAAUGUGUUGAUGUAAAAAUAACUGAUUAUUCAGAUGCUAGUGGAAUUUUCAAGACAAACAGGGAGGCCCAUGUGCAUUUUAAGUACUUCCCAAGUAAAACAGCAGUUCAGCACAGGUAGGGAAGGAAAAAGGAUUACAUAUUUAGAUUAAGGUAUCUCAAUGUAUUUUUUGGAUCUUGCCUUUUUUGGAUCUGCUCAGUGCUGGUCUGACUCAUCUCUUAGGUGUUUCUUCUCACAGGAGAUCAGUGACUUUGCUGCUGCUGGAUUGACUGGCAGAGUAAGGACGGUUACCUGCCAAGUAAAUCCAGUUAUUCAGCCCUUGCUGGUCCCAAAUAGAGCUCUGUGGCCUAUAAAGGGUCACAUUAAUUAAAAUAAGCCAUCAGAACAGCAGACGUGCUGGGUAUUCACCUCCGCACCAGCCCAGGGCAGAGCAUGUUCAGCUCACUUCAGCAGCAGUGCCACAAAAUCUCUUCAUGACGUUUUUGACAGAGCUAAGUAUUACCAAGAUUUUUUAAUAGUUACCUUUGUAAUUAGCCAUUUUAAAUUCAUUUACUGAAAAUGAGAGGGGCUGGGAUCCUCACGUGUCUUCCUUGCUCCUAUCUUUGCUCGAGUUCACCAUAGAGAGCUUAGUGCAAAAUCCAUAAAGAACCAAAAAAGUGCAUAUUUGAAAGAGCAAUUCAAGCAUAUGUAGAAUGUUCCUGGCUACAUGUAAUUGCAGGCAAGUACUGACAUUUCUGCUGUUCUGGACAAAUGUAUUUAUUUAUUACUUUAUUAACCCACCUCUUCUCUUCAGCAUGUGUUUCUUCUUCUCUCAUUUCCUAAUAUUCCCUGAGUAUUAUUUACCUGAUUUGCAUGACAUACAUGACAAUUGCUUGGGUAGAUCAAACCAAUGACACCACAGUGUUACAAAGAACUAGACGGGGUGUUGUAGUGCUUUUUGGAAGGGCAGAACUUUCCUUUCUUACUGGUAGUACUUCCUCAAGUCAGCAGUGCUAUGAGAACUGUACUCCUCAAUUCCACAGCCAACACUGAUAUUCUGAGACAAACAUUCACCAUUCUUUGCUGCUCUGAGUAUUCUCUCACCCCAGAGAGGAAUGAUUUUAUUAAUUUAAACAGGAAGAAAUAUGUACAAAAAUGACCCAAAGUCUGAUAUAUACCUGUUGGUAUUGACUAAAUCCUUAUCCUGUGAGGGCAAUGUCAAGGCACCUAUUGAUUGUUCCUGAGUAAAUAUCUUGUUGAAGUGGCACUGUCUGUGAAAUUGAAUUACAUAAAUUUUAAUGCCUACAAUAAAAGUUCAUCAGAACUAGCACAGAAACUUCUCUACUUAACUGGAGGUUGACUCAGUUUAUGAAAUGGAGCGAUUUAUCUCCCAAUGGAUCAUGAUACAGGUAUCCAAGUGAACCAUCAGUAAUAAAUAUGGUAUUUCCUCUGUAGUGAUCUGAACAGUGAAUAAAGACUUAAUUUGCAAGUAUUUUCAGAAACUGGGGGAAAACACAGCGAGUUCCCAAGGGUGCAAGUGGACUCGUUUGUAUUUAUAAGUAAGUCAACAUCAAGCUGAUGUGAUUAAACAGUUACUCUGUCAGUGACUUAGCCCUGUUCUUUUCUCCAUCUGGUAGGCAGGCAGGCAGAUUAAAUUUAUGCUGUGUGUUUAUUUUCUUGAAAUAAAAUGAGUUUUGUUUAUAUUUCGAGGCAGUAUGAUGUGGUAACAAAUGUACCAAAUAUAUUAACUUCAAAAAAAAAAGGAAAAAGAAAAGAGGAUUUAGACAAAAAAGAAGACGUGCCUCCCAAGGCACCAUACUUUAUUUAAAGGAAAUGGAAACACACCAUUUUUUUUUUAAAUGCUCAUUUACAGACUUUAAAGAAAAUUAAAUUUAUAGUUUAGCCUCUGAGUUCUGGAACUACCAGUUGUUUCCUGAAAGUGACUUUGUAAUGAGUUUUGGGAAAUCAUUUUAGUAUUGACUUGGGCUGUAAUGGUUGGCUGUUGCUUUUUUGAAUAAGAUUAAUUAAAUUACUCUGAACGAGCUCCAAGUCCAUGCCCUUCUCUGAGGCCAAUUGUGAAUAUGACCAUAAUAAACUCUUAAAAAGUAUUUCAGAAAGUAAAUAAUCUCCAAACCUGGAAGUAUGUCAUUGUGCUCUGGUAAGAAUAACAAACAGCAUUUGCUUCCUUGUUUCAACAUACAUCACUUUGCUUUCGUACCUUGCACUUUCCUCAGUUGUAAGAAGUGAGGGUUAUUUUUGUUUGGUUAAUUUUCUGUACAACAGCAGGAGAUAAUUUUGACUGCAUCUUAAAGAAAGAACCAGAUAAGAAGUAAGUGCAUAGGCACAAAUAAGAGCUGGCAGUUGUACUUCUGAUUUCAACUCUGAAAUGUAGGACUCCUCUUAGUUAUUCAUACUUCGGUAAGCUCAAAUAAAAUACGGACCACAUUAUAUCAGUCUCAAUAAAAACAUACGGAAGUGAAUGCUCUUAAUUUAUAGAAGCUUUGAAAAUCAAUGCCAAAUAUGCAAAGAUUCCAUAAACAGAGAGGUGAAAGGACUUAUCCAAAGCUCCUUUAUGUGCCUGGGCUGAUGACAGUUGACACCAGGUCUUCAGAGCGCCAUGCCAGCGUCCGGUCCAGCGAACACUGCUGCUGCUUGGUAAGCUGGACUGAGAUAUCUCCCCAGAUGCUGCUCUGAUUUUCCACAGAAAUGGUAAGUACUUGGAAAAAUAAGAUAAAAAAAAAGUAAAACAUACCCCAAGGGAAGCCACCAAAAAAUGAUGGGUGUAUGUCUCCCAUAGAACCAUGGGCAAGGUAGACAACAAGAACUGGUGAAAGAAUAGAAGCAAAAGGAAAGAAAACAGUAGAAGUUUGUGGAGUAAUUUAGUAUGAGCAGCUGCACAAAGUAUCUUAACAGCGACAGACCAUCUGCAGUCCCAGUACAGAGAAAGAUCAACAGCUUGUGUGGUAUGAGCUUCCAAAGGAGAGUCUGCUGCACUUCUCAAAUCUCCUGUGAGUUCUCUGAGAUGGAGUAGGUGAGCUGGGAGCACAGCACUCCUGAGAAAAUUUGGUUCUGUAAGGAUGGAGGUUGCUAGGGAGCAAAGCCCUCUUAUGCCAUAAGGAAGGAUUUCUGUUUCCUUGGCAUUACUUUCCUUGCUAGGAAGUCCUGCUCUCAUUCUUUAGGCCAAAAGAUCUGGGCAAGGCUGGUUUGAUGGGCAGAUGAGGGUGGCUGGCAAAGGCUGUGAAUUUUUCUUCUUCCUUGUUCUUAAGUGUCCUUAACCCGUGCUGACAAGAGUAAAAUAGAGACUUGGAGGUCUUAAAUAAACAGGAAUCUUGCAGGGUACAGGUUAAACUAACACUGACAGAGCCAGUAGCUGCAACAAUUUGUAAUUAUAUCCAUGAUCCCAGUGCUCUCUUUCUCAAGGCAAAAAGAUUUGGGUACCAACUUAUGGAGUGAAAUGUCAGUGUUCCCUGCAUUCCCUGCUCCACUGGUGUUCCUCUUUAGGUCUUUAGAAAGAGAACUACUUUGCUCCUAAAACUGAUUAAAGCAUGAAGGAUGAUCUGGUUGAGUGAAUGUGGUAAGAAAUGGCAACCUGUGUCAAAGUUUUUUUGCUCUUAUUUAGUUUAUAUAUUUGUGAUGUUUUUCUACUUUUGGUAGAGAUAAAAGAUUUAUAUUUCAAUGCCUCAAAUUUGAGCUCUAAUACUAUUUUUUACCUUCUACUCUUCUUUUUUCUCUUUAAUUUCUGGUAUUGUUGAGCUUUGGAAAAGAAGAAAUGUUCUCCUGGUAUAUGUACUGGUUUACUUUGUAUUAAUUUGAUUACAUUACUGAUAAACUGAAUUUACUGCUAGUCCACAAACAUGGUGGAUAUGAAUGCUUGCUUCUCACUGGUUUUCUUGAUGGAAUUUUAACCAUGUUUUGCUACAAAUGGAAUCUCAGUUAAAGGAGUAAUUAGUACUUCUGUCUGUUGAAAAUAAUAUUUUAAAUAGCUGUAGUUAAUCCUAAGAAUUGGAGAAUACUCCUUCAUGUAUUAACGUGUUAUUUUAUAUGUUUAUAUAUAUAUAUAUGUUAUAUAUACCUAUUUUAUAUGUUAUACAUAUUAUAUAUGUUAUAAUAGCUAAAAUCACAUUAUUCUCCAAUAAUCCCUGCUUGGUGGGAUGGCAUUCAAGCUCUGAGUGGUGCUGACACCUCUUACACCUCUAAGAAUGGAAAACAAAGCAGUCACUUGAGCUCUUUAUUUAUCAGCCAGUAUCUCACUGCAUGUAAUUUGUCUGGUUUUUUAGCAAAGGAAGUAGGACUGCACUCUACCUGAAAAGCUGAUGUCCUAAAUGACUGAUGUAGAAGCAGGUAAGCAUAAAAGAAUACUGGAUACAGGACCCCAAACCUCCAGUAGACCAAGAGAAAGAAGUUUAAACCCUUGCAAAUACUGGGCCAAAUACAGCCAUAUCACAGGCUAAGUCAAGUCUACACAUGCCAUUGGACACAGCUAAGAAGAAAAUGAGCUUCAGCCACUGUGCCUUUCCUCCGUUCUCUGAAAGGGCAGAGGUUCUGGCAGACAGAACUUUUAGCAGAUUCAAGAGGGCGAAUUUGACAACAAUUCACAGUGAGUAGAUGCACAUUAAAGCAAAGGAAAUUUGUUUGCUUCAAGUAAAGAGUGGACAGUUUCACUGCUAGUGCUGAGGACAAGUUGUAUUCAGAAAACAGCCUCGUUUCCUUUGCCUUGUGUCUUGUGCAGAGGCUUCUUGCUGUACAUGGACUGUGAAGUUUAUGGCUAUGGGGAUUUUAGAACUAGAAGCAUCUCUGACAACCCAGUUGCAUUGUUUUUUUCUCUAUUUUAACAGCAGAUCUUUUUCAGUAGGCGGUGUGAAAAGAAUUGUUUUCAAUUAUUCUUGGCUACAUUUUUUCCCACAGAUUCUGACUUAAUUAGACUCAUUAACAAGACCAAGCAACAUAUUGUCUGUGGGAAAAGAUUUCAGAUGAGAGAAGACUGUUAUACCAUUUUAUUCAAAUCCUUCUGCCAGGAAAAAGCAACUUGACCAAAACAGGGAGGCUUCCAAGAAGUGGCUGCAUUGCUCCUGAAGCUGUUUUUGGAGAGAACAGGGUUUAUUUUUGCCAAAAAAAUGUAACUGUUUUUGUUGAAAAUAUCUGCUUUGCUUUCUAAAAUGUACUUUGUCCACAAAUAUUGCUAUCGGUAGGUCAACUCACAGUGAUCCCACUAGGAAAGACAGAUGCUUCAAGAUUAAUUCUUCAGAUGUAUUUUUUUGCUUAGUGGGGACCCAUAUGGAUGUAGAGACAGUGCACUGGGCGGUAUCCUUUCCUCAGCGCCUGUGCCUGCUAUGGGAGGCCACCCAGCUCUGUCACAGUGGGGAGAAGACAGAAAAGCAAAAAGAACAGAGGAGAGGAAAAAGGAUAGAUAUAGAAAAUUAAUGCUCGGGAGAGGGAUUGCUAGUUCUUUAGGGGAUUUCCAGCACACAGUCUAUGGAAAAUUUUUAUCCACAUCCAAACUGGUCAGAAAUUUCUUUCAGGAACUGCCAUCACUAACCCUGAGGCAGCUGGCAGCUGCAGCACUCUUCAGGCUGCACCAGAGAUAAGGAACCCAAACUACACAUGGACCCUUAAGUGGAGGAAGGAGGGACUUGCAGAGGGCUCCCAGACAGCAGAAUACAGAGGACAGUAGCAAACUUCAUGUACCAAUGGGCAGUGACUGUUGGUGCCCAUCCAGUUCUUUGGAUGUAUUAUACAUGGAACUGCUGUUAACAUAUAAGCAGCCACUGCUAAAUUAUAACCUUAAAGACGAUGGGAUUUCACCAGUGUCAGCAUCUGUUGUUCAUAAAGGAAUUGGGAAAUGGCCCAGCGUCACAUCCAGCUCUGAUCAUGAACAAAUACACUUUGACUUGGACAUGACCUGAUAUUCAAACUAGCAGUAGAUGGAAAAGAAGACAAACAGUUUUUUCAUGAGUUUCAAACACACCUUAAGCAGCUCCGGGACCUUCCAUCAAGAUAACUUGAUAAACCUUGUACGUUUACCUACCUUGACAGUUGUUCAGAUGUCAUGCUAUUUUGGUUUUAGAUUAUUUAAACUAAUGCCUGCUGUCCCACAAGAUACAGGUGAUUGCAAAGGCAGAAAGGUCACCUAAUGAAGCCUGAACUGACCUAGGAAUAUGGGCUUGGCUCCAUUCCCUGCAGUAAAACUUCAGUGCAGAAGAUCAAAUGUGAGAUUCACCUACCUCUGAGCACAGACGUGUUCCAGGACAAAGUUUGGCAUGCAGGCCCUUCUACUCAGGCAGAACAGUACACGACAAAUGUAUCACUGCACAGUGACAGCAGCAUGCCACAAGGUCAGAGCCACAAGCAGCAUGCCACAAGGUCAGAGCCUGGGUCAUAAUUCACCCUAUUAUAUCUGUUUAAUCCAUUCCUUAUUCAUUUUACUACAUGUAUUUCCUACUGAUUAUAUACCUUGUCAUGCAUCUCCAACUGACUUUUAAUCUCCAUGAUUUAAUCUUCAUUAUGGAGUCACCGGGUAUGACCAAGUUUUACUUAUUAGCAAAAACAUUAUGUAUUUUUUGAUGUUCUAAUUGGAAUAUUUCCAAUCUGAAUAUCCUCACUGUGCUCUCUCUCAGGUGUCUGUGUCACCUCCAGUACUCUCAUGGACUGCACACAUUCUGCUCAUUAAUCUACAUACCAUCACUUCUGGUGCAAAGCAAUCAUACUUAGGCUUUCUGAAAGCAGUAUAACAAUAUUUCAGCCUAUAAGCCAAUCCAGGUACUCAGACAGAAAAUACAUCUAGUCAGUUGUGUUUACAUAAAGACAUUUAUAGGGUAUGUUAUCACAAUAGUCUAUUACUUAGUAGAGCUGGUUGCAAAGUAAAAGAAAUACUACUUAUUACUGUAGUUUAGACUCUAGAAGCCUUCUUUUAAUGGUUACAUAAUACCAAAAGCUCGCCCUUGGAUCUCCUGCUUGCUAGAAAACCUGAUUUCUUGUAUUUUUUUAAUCAGAGAACAAGGAGUUGUCUCAAACGAAAAAGAAACCAAAACAAAAAAAUAUUUUCAUUUAAAAAUUACUUUUUUUCCAUUUGUUCAAGUAAAUAUUAACUGCAGCAGAUAUCCACAGCCCUCUUGAAAAGGUAAAACUUCCUAAGGCUUCUAGAAAUGCACAGCUAGACAGAGAAAGUGAGCUAACAGCCUCAUUGUUAUUAAUAAAAUAAGCCUGGUGAUACAUAGCAGUAUCAUUUGGUCACCAUGGCCCCCUCUAGCCCUACCCAAAGCUGAAACAGAAAGAAUAUCCCACCUGUGUUACAUUAACCUAGUUUCCAAUUAAAAGAUUGAAAUAUUGUAGGUUUUUCAUGUCUGUGAUUUUAUCUGUAGCAAAUAAAUGAUCCAAGUGCAAGGACAAAGAGAUUUAAAGGAAGGUUAUUUACUCAAAGAGCUCUCCAAUUUCCUGAUGGUAGAAUUCACUGGGAAAAAAAAACAACACAACUUACACCUGAGGAACUGUAGCUGAAAUUGCAGAUAGCCACUAGAGAGAGAGAGAAAAAAAAGGCUUCUUUAAAAACCAGUAACACCGCUAUUAUUGCAAUUCUGACUGUCAAGAAGUAAUUGCAAAUUGUUCUUGUGCCUGGACCUCCACUUGCAGAUCACAGACUGACUAUAAUAAGAAAUUAUCCCUUAAAAAGAAGGAGCCCCAGAGGAGUAGCAAAGACCAGCAUAAAAUAGGCCACAAAAAUCCUAACCAUUGAAUUUGAAGCACUAACAUACAAAAAAGAAAUGCAAAAUCACUUAGAUAUAACUUGGCCAAAACCUGCAGCAGGGAGAGCAGCCAGAAGACAUUUGAAGGAUGCGUUUGCAUGGGAAAUUCUUACGGCUGAAGUACACAGAAAAGAACUAUUAAGGGGUGGGUAAGUAGGACUGAUGAAAUCAAAGGAAAAUGAAAGAAAAUGAUUUGACAGCAAUUGCGUGCUGUAUGGUUGCUGUGCUGUAUUUUCCCACGGGAAACAGUCAAAUGUGUUUCACUGGAAACAUUAAAAAACAACGCAGCCUGGACAGAAGCACAGAGAGAGUGCAGUAGUCAGAGAUGGGACUGGAGAGCAUUUCCACUCCUGAAUUACCUAUUUCCUGGCUGCCGUUUUAUUGUGAUUCAUUGUUUUUCCUUCUGGAACCAAUAACCUCCCACACAACAACCCCAAUCAAUAGUGAACAUUUGCCAUGCACAAACACGUGUUUAGAGGAUUGACCCCAACUUACCUACUGGUUGGUGUCAUUCAACACUGACGUUUAUGUGCAGAGUCUUGCCUCUGCAAAGAACCAGCAUCUCACUUUAUACAAAUGCAUACAGCCUAGGAAAUAAGUAGGAUGAGUUGGAAACCAGGUCCACUUGGAAAGUUAUGACCUUGUUGCUAUUGUGGGAGUCUGGGAUGACUCUCAUAACUGGAAUACCACCACUGAGGGGCCUCGGCUCUUUAGAAGGGAUAGGCAAGGUAGGAAGGGUGGGGGAGUUGUCCUCUAUGUCAAAGAGUGGAUAGACUGUGAGGAGCUCCCUCUGAGAAACAGUCAGGAACAGGUUGAGAGCCUGUGGGUUAAAACUAGGGAUAGGACUCAUAAAGGCCAGCUGGUGAUAGGGAUAUAUAUACUACAGGCCACCUGAUCAAGGGGAGACUGUUGACAAGGCCUUCUUGCUUCAGAUGCAGGAGACAUUGUGCUCACAGACUCUCGUCCUGGUGAGGGACUUCAACCAUCCAGAUAUCUGAUGGAGAGACCACACAGCGAGUUCCAAGAGGUCCAGGAGGCUCCUGGAAUCCAUUGAUGAUAACUUUCUGGUUCAGGUAUUGGACAGACCAACCAGCAGUGAAGUGUUGCUGGACCUGCUGCUCACCAAUGCAGAGAUGAUCAUUACAGGUGUUAAGGUGGGAGGCAGCCUGGGCUGCAGUGACCAUGCUGUGGCCGAGUUCAUGAUCUCGAGGAAUGCGGGCCUGGCAAACAGUGGGGUCAGGACCCUGAACUUCAGAAGAGCGAACUUUAAGCUGCUGAAGGAAUUUUUGGCCAAGAUCCCACUCUACUGGGUCCCUUCCAACUCAGGCCAUUCUGUGACUCUGUGAAAAAAAAUAAUAACUUUUUUUUUCUUUCCUCAAAGCAAGCUUCUACUUAAAAAAACUGCAUGCCCAGUUAUGUAAAAGUGAGAGAAAGUCUCAGUGCCCUACAGAUACCAUGUUGAGAACUGUUGAGUCAUGGCCUGAACCACUGAUUGAGCACCUGGGGAAAGGACCUGGUCAGCCCUGGGAGCACAGGUGAAGGCAAUUCAGCUGUGCGACCAGAAGGGGUGGAGCCUGGCUGCACCUCUCUUAGACCUCAUUUAAGGGCUGACUGCCACUGGGGAAGGAUCUCUGGUUGGAGAUGCCUCCCUUGUGGUGUUUUCCCAGUGAGCCUGGAUCAUCAGAGAUGGGUGAGUGUUUUUCCUUUCCUAUCACGCUACUCUCUUUGUCAUUAAACCUCCUGUAUCACCAUUCCAUCACGCUGAUCUUUCUGAUUGUUACACUGUAGAAAGAGGCUCUCCUUACAGCCACUGGAUCCAGCCUGGCAGGGCAGAGCUCCUCCAGCAUCACCAGUGUGUGUGGAUAGAAAAACCUGGGCAGGAGAGAUGCACCUUUGUUUGAUGCCUCACUGUUGUAUUUGGCCAGUCUAAUUCACAGUAACCUAUCUGACUGGUAGGGCCAGAGGUGUGAACUGCAGCAAAAGCUGCUUCGAUUGGAGAGGUAAAAAGCUAAUCCUAGCCCAAACCUCUGUUCCUGUGAUGAGCCAUGAACACCUGCUCAGCAGCAAGUGAACUCCUACAAAGUUCACUGAUUUCUCCAGGCUUUGGCGUGCAUUUCUGUAGCUGAUAAGCAGAAAUUUUCUCUCUAGAUGUUUGCCUGUUCAAACCACAAAGACACGGCAAGGUGAAAAGCUAUAGUUUCAAUUACGUUUUUUAAAUUGCACAUGUGUAAGAGAGGGAGCAAAUAAAAUAGAACCGUUGCUAUUCGGAAGGCACCCUGAGAACCAGGAAGUUGCUGUAAGAUGAAAUGCGACAGGGAUUCCCUGGAGGGCCCUACAGGAGGCUGGAAGGAGGGGAUUGGUUUUUUACCCACCACAUCUGAAACUGAGAAUCUCAGGCAGCAAAGGAACGGCGUUUGCUUAAAAACAGGUAAAUUAUUUAUUCUCAGUUCAUCUAAGAAAGGAACUAGAGAACUAUUUAGAGUACAGAGGAACAUAUAGUACUUGCUUACCUAACGAAAAGGUGUGAAAUGUGAGAGGUGAAAUUGUUAGAGAAGCUUAUAUCAUACUGCAGCCUUUUGCUGUCUUGUUAAUACCUGCUACAGUUAUACAAUGCAUUUAUGAAUAGAUGCUUGAAUUCAGAUAUCCUGCUAGUCAGUUUUUCUUACCAGAAAACACACACCUCAGAAAACAUUCAUCUAUGUGACAGGUAGCAUUUCACCCAUAUAAGAUGUUCAUGUUAUUUAGCUAACAGUACUGUAGGUGGAAUUACAGUACGGAUUCAUUACAGGUACACCCGUACAUGUGAUGCAACAUUUGGUCUAACAGUGGUUGACCCAGGGAAAGAAUAAGACCAAAGCCCUACUUGACAAGUGGUGUCCUGGCACGGAGGUCUCAGGAACCUCUGCUCUGAGCCUCAAGCUGGAUGGCCUCUCGCGAUCCUCUCUCCCUCUGAGCUUGGAGAAAGAGACGUGGAACAGAAUCUCCUGCUGUUUUGGUCUUAUAACGAGAUGGGAAGCAGAUCCUGCUUAACAUCAGAAACAAUAUUUAGUGACUUCUACAAAUGUACCUGAUAUAUACACACUAAUGCUUCAUAGGAGUGAUUUCAGGUGACCACAGCAACCUUUUGUUCAGCUGAUAGUUUAAGUAAUGUUUUUGCUUAAUUGCUGUUUUGCUUAAGACCUUAAUUCUUGCAAGAAACAACUUUGUGCUGCACCAUUCCCACGUGGAUGGAGAAAUGCAUGAAUUUUUCUUAACAUGACUUGACAGUGAAUUUAUUUCAUUGUGUCUGUUUUGACCUGAGCAACUAUUUUUAUUUCCUGUCCAUCUGAGUUACUACUUGAUUUGCUGAAAGCUAAGGAACCAGAGCUGUGAGAUUAAGAUUUCAAAAAUACAUGCUUUUGGAGAAGUUAUUUGGCUGAAACAAAUGCCCUGUGUUGGUCUGUCAGAGCCACGUGUCCUGUCCCUCUGAGCUAAGCUGUAUCGGAAGGCAAGACAGUCACUGCUGAAUGCCGCUUCAUUGAAAGUACAAGUAUUUUAAAAGUAUCCAAGUACUUCAAAUGGAAUUUCUAAUGCUCAAUACUUUGAGUUAAUAAAAAAAACUUCUAAAAA